AGUUAUUUAAUUUAUAUAAAAUAUUUACCUUGAAAGUAAAACAAGAACUCUAUUCUGUAACUU
Molecule: transfer RNA, 63 nt
Filed under: Trioza frangulae
Lineage: Eukaryota; Metazoa; Arthropoda; Insecta; Hemiptera; Triozidae
Description: tRNA-Ser
Source: RNAcentral